UGAGCUUCGAACGGGCAGAAAGGUGACAAAUUGUCGCUUUUUGUCCAUUUGUGCCCACGUGUCACUUUCAACGUACCUCUCUAUAACAUGACUCAGCUGUGAUCCAAACAACAAGGUCAGGGUGGCUAUGGUCAGUUCUUCAGCUUCGAACGGGCAGAAAGCCAAAGAACAAGAUCAGGGGCCUAUGGUCAGUUCUUGAGCUUCGAACGGGCAGAAAGGUGACAAAUUGUCGCUUUUUGCCCAUUUGUGCCCACGUGUCACUUUCAACGUACCUCUCUAUAAC
This is a long non-coding RNA of Sycon ciliatum, 283 nucleotides long. RefSeq lists it as uncharacterized. The transcript has 3 exons. The record is from RefSeq and is a predicted model, not a curated record. Lineage: Eukaryota; Metazoa; Porifera; Calcarea; Leucosolenida; Sycettidae.